UACGGAGGGGGCUAGCGUUGUUCGGAAUUACUGGGCGUAAAGCGCACGUAGGCGGCUUUGUAAGUUAGUGGUGAAAGCCCGGGGCUCAACUCCGGAAUUGCCUUUAAGACUGCAUCGCUAGAAUUGUGGAGAGGUAAGUGGAAUUCCGAGUGUAGAGGUGAAAUUCGUAGAUAUUCGGAAGAACACCAGUGGCGAAGGCGACUUACUGGACACAUAUUGACGCUGAGGUGCGAAAGCGUGGGGAGCAAACAGG
This 253-nucleotide ribosomal RNA is filed under the name uncultured bacterium. Its description in RNAcentral is "partial 16S ribosomal RNA". It matches the Rfam family "Bacterial small subunit ribosomal RNA", at positions 524 to 776 of the family's 1533-position model. The record is from RNAcentral.